UACGGGGGGGGCAAGCGUUGUUCGGAAUUACUGGGCGUAAAGGGCGCGUAGGCGGCCUGCUAAGUCAGACGUGAAAUCCCCGGGCUCAACCCGGGAACUGCGUCUGAUACUGGUAGGCUUGAAUCCGGGAGAGGGAUGCGGAAUUCCAGGUGUAGCGGUGAAAUGCGUAGAUAUCUGGAGGAACACCGGUGGCGAAGGCGGCAUCCUGGACCGGCAUUGACGCUGAGGCGCGAAAGCCAGGGGAGCAAACGGG
This 253-nucleotide ribosomal RNA is filed under the name uncultured bacterium. RNAcentral describes it as "partial 16S ribosomal RNA". It matches the Rfam family "Bacterial small subunit ribosomal RNA", at positions 524 to 776 of the family's 1533-position model. The record is from RNAcentral.